CUGAGAGGGCCCUGAGGGCAGAGGGCGCUUCCUGAGACACGGAUAGGCUCACUGGCUGGCGGUGGUGUCACUGUGUCGCCCGGCGACAGAUACAGGGUGUUUGCUCUGGAAUCUGCCAACGACUCCCAUCCAGAUCCCGGCUGAGGGCUGGGCCCUGUUAGGCCGGGUCCCCACAGCUUCUCCAGGCACCUGGCACACGGGGAAUGAGUGAGUGACUCGGCCAGGAUGAAAGCUGGAGCCUCUGCACGGUCCAAGCAGGGAGGCGAUGGCUCGCGUCACAGUCCAAGCAGCCAGGCGACGGUCCUGGCUGACGGGCUCUGGACACAACGAGAAGUUGGCGUCUACACCCGGAAGAGGGCCCUCAUCAGGCCCCAACACGCCGGCACCCUCAUCUCAGACCUGUGGCCUCCAAAACAGUGAGAAAUCAACCCUGCUGUUGAUCAGCCACGCGUCUAUGGCAGCCAAACAGACUCAGGCAGGGUCUGGGGCCUGGGGCUCCUGCCUCUGUGGAUCACCCUCUCUAUGGAGCCAAAUGGCUCCCAAAGUCACUCGGGACCUCAGAAUGUUGACCUUGUUUCAAAUUAGGGUCUUUGAAGAUGCAGUUAAGACAAGGCCGCACUGAAGUAGGGUGGACCCUAAAUCCGACGGCAGGUGCCUGAGAAGAAGAGGAGAGACAGAGACAGCAGAAUGACUCAGAGACGGAGGCAGAGACUGGGGCAGUGCACCUGCCAGGCCAGGAGGGCCAGAGGUUCCUGGCAACUCCAGAAGCAGGAGGGAGGCCGGGGGAGGGUCCUCCCUGGAGCUGCCAGAGGGAACCAGCCCUGCAGCGUCUUGAUUUUGGACAUUCGGCUCCAGAGAGAACAGAUUCUGUCACUCUAAGGCACCUGGUUUGUGGUACUUUGUUUAGGCAGCGGAGACCCCCAGCCCCAAAUAAACUCCCAGCACCCAAGU
RNAcentral lists this long non-coding RNA (951 nucleotides) under Homo sapiens (human). RNAcentral's name for it is "HSALNT0000538". Lineage: Eukaryota; Metazoa; Chordata; Mammalia; Primates; Hominidae. The record is from RNAcentral.